CAGCAGCCGCGGUAAUAUGUAGGGUGCGAGCGUUAAUCGGAAUUACUGGGCGUAAAGCGUGCGCAGGCGGUUGUGUAAGACAGGUGUGAAAUCCCCGGGCUUAACCUGGGAACUGCGCUUGUAACUGCACAGCUAGAGUAUGGCAGAGGGGGGUGGAAUUCCACGUGUAGCAGUGAAAUGCGUAGAGAUGUGGAGGAACACCGAUGGCGAAGGCAGCCCCCUGGGCCAAUACUGACGCUCAUGCACGAAAGCGUGGGGAGCAAACAGGAUUAGAUACCCGCGUAGUCCCUGUCUCUUAUAC
Molecule: ribosomal RNA, 301 nt
Filed under: uncultured bacterium
Lineage: Bacteria
Description: partial 16S ribosomal RNA
Rfam family: Bacterial small subunit ribosomal RNA
Source: RNAcentral